Molecule: ribosomal RNA, 481 nt
Filed under: uncultured bacterium
Lineage: Bacteria
Description: partial 16S ribosomal RNA
Rfam family: Bacterial small subunit ribosomal RNA
Source: RNAcentral
GAUGAACGCUGGCGGCGUGCCUAACACAUGCAAGUCGAACGGAGAUUACGGACGGAAGUUUUCGGAUGGAAGACUGUAAUUCUUAGUGGCGGACGGGCGAGUAACGCGUGGGCAACCUGCCCUAUACAGGGGGAUAGCAGCUGGAAACGGCUGGUAAGACCGCAUAAGUCGGUUAAAUCGCAUGAUUUGAUCGGGAAAUGAGCAAUCAGGUAUAGGAUGGGCCCGCGUCCGAUUAGCCAGUUGGCAGGGUAAAAGCCUACCAAAGCGACGAUCGGUAGCCGGACUGAGAGGUCGGACGGCCACAUUGGGACUGAGACACGGCCCAAACUCCUACGGGAGGCAGCAGUGGGGGAUAUUGCACAAUGGAGGAAACUCUGAUGCAGCGACGCCGCGUGAGUGAAGAAGUAUUUCGGUAUGUAAAGCUCUAUCAGCAGGGAAGAUGAUGACGGUACCUGACUAAGAAGCCCCGGCUAACUACGUG